GAUGAACGCUGGCGGCGUGCCUAAUACAUGCAAGUCGAGCGAACGGACGAGAAGCUUGCUUUUCUGAUGUUAGCGGCGGACGGGUGAGUAACACGUGGAUAACCUACCUAUAAGACUGGGAUAACUUCGGGAAACCGGAGCUAAUACCGGAUAAUAUUUUGAACCGCAUGGUUCAAAAGUGAAAGACGGUCUUGCUGUCACUUAUAGAUGGAUCCGCGCUGCAUUAGCUAGUUGGUAAGGUAACGGCUUACCAAGGCAACGAUGCAUAGCCGACCUGAGAGGGUGAUCGGCCACACUGGAGCUGAGACACGGUCCAGACUCCUACGGGAGGCAGCAGUAGGGAAUCUUCCGCAAUGGGCGAAAGCCUGACGGAGCAACGCCGCGUGAGUGAUGAAGGUCUUCGGAUCGUAAAACUCUGUUAUUAGGGAAGAACAUAUGUGUAAGUAACUGUGCACAUCUUGACGGUACCUAAUCAGAAAGCCACGGCUAACUACGCG
This 497-nucleotide ribosomal RNA is filed under the name uncultured bacterium. RNAcentral's name for it is "partial 16S ribosomal RNA". It matches the Rfam family "Bacterial small subunit ribosomal RNA", at positions 28 to 507 of the family's 1533-position model. The record is from RNAcentral.